Molecule: long non-coding RNA, 289 nt
Filed under: Ananas comosus (pineapple)
Lineage: Eukaryota; Viridiplantae; Streptophyta; Magnoliopsida; Poales; Bromeliaceae
Description: long non-coding RNA (ACOM_LNC020130)
Source: RNAcentral
CCCCUCUGUGGUUUCGUGCUUUCUCACUUUAGUACCCUGCGGUUUAAAACGUAUCAAUUUGCCCCCCUGUGGUUUCGUUUUUAUCUUUUUGUUAUCAAUUUUAUUAUUAUUUUUUUUUAAAAUCAGUGACAAAGUUAAAAUUAAAGGAUACUAAAGUGACUAUUCGAUAAAUAUAGAUGGUUAUCUGAAGUUUUUUGUAUAUAAUUUAACGAAAUAUUAACGAAAAAGUUUCCGAAAAGAUAAAAAUGAAACCACAGGGGGGUAAAUUGAUACGUUUUAAACCACAGGA